Molecule: non-coding RNA, 786 nt
Filed under: Ophthalmitis albosignaria
Lineage: Eukaryota; Metazoa; Arthropoda; Insecta; Lepidoptera; Geometridae
Source: RNAcentral
AAUAAAUUUUAUAUAGUUUAAAAAAUUUAUUUUAAGUUUAUUUUACAUAUAAAUUUUAGUGUUAAUAAUUAAUUAUUUAAAAAAUAUUUAUUAUUUGUAGUAAUUAAUAUUAAAAAUUUAAGAAAUUAAGAUUUAGUAAUAUUGAAAUUAUUAACAAAUUUUGUGCCAGCAGUUGCGGUUAUACAAAAAUUAAAUUAAAUUUUAUUAGUUAUUAAAUAAUUAAAAAUUUAUUUAUAAUUUAAAUUUAAAAUUAUUAGGUGAAAUUUUAAUUUUAUUGAAUUUUAUAUAUUUAAAAUUUAUGAUUUUGUAAAUUUUAAUUUUAAACUAGGAUUAGAUACCCUAUUAUUAAAAAAUUUAAAUUUAUUAAUACUAAAAUAGUAUAUAAUUAUUUAUUGAAACUUAAAUAUUUUGGCGGUAUUUUAGUUUAUUUAGAGGAAUCUGUUUAUUAAUUGAUAAUUCACGAAUAAAUUUACUUAAUUUUUAUUAUUUUGUAUAUCGUUGUUAAAAAAAUAUUUUUUAAUAAUUAAUAAUAUUUUAAAAUUAUAAUUUAAAAUUUAAAUCAAAUCAAGAUGCAGAUUAUAAUUAAGAAUAUGAUGGAUUACAAUAAAUUUAUUUAAAUGAAUUUUAAUUUGUAAAAAUUAAAUGAAAGUGGAUUUAAAUGUAAUUUUAUUUAUUUUAAUAAAAUGAUUAAAAAUUAAAAUAUGUACAUAUUGCCCGUCGCUUUCAUAAAUAAAUUGGAAUAAGUCGUAACAAAGUAGAGGUACUGGAAAGUGUUUCUAGAAAGAC